AGGGCACCMCCAGGAGUGGAGCCUGCGGCUUAWUUUGACUGAACACGGGAAAACUCACCCGGCCCGGACACCGUAAGGAUUGACAGAUUGAGAGCUCUUUCUUGAUUCGGUGGKUGGKGGKGCAUGGSCGUUCUUAGUUGGKGGAGCGAUUUGUCUGGKUUAUUCCGAUAACGAGCGAGACUCUAGCCUACUAAAWAGUGACCGGAUAGCUUCGUCCGGGUCACUUCUUAGAGGGACAAGCGGUGUUCAGCCGCAAUAAGUUGAGCAAUAACAGGUCUGUGAUGCCCUUAGAUGUCCGGGGCUGCACGCGCGCUACACUGGAGGAAUCAGCGUGCUUGACCCAUUGCCSAAAGGCAUUGGUAAACCCUUGAAAAUCCUCCGUGAUCGGGAUCKGGAAUUGYRAUUAUUUCYCUUGAACRAGGAAUUCCCAGUAAGUGUGAGUCAUCAGCUCACGUUGAUUACGUCCCUGCCCUUUGUACACACCGCCCGUCGCUGCCCGGGACUGAGCCGUUUCGAGAA
Molecule: ribosomal RNA, 519 nt
Filed under: uncultured eukaryote
Lineage: Eukaryota
Description: partial 18S ribosomal RNA
Rfam family: Eukaryotic small subunit ribosomal RNA
Source: RNAcentral